This 460-nucleotide ribosomal RNA is filed under the name uncultured bacterium. RNAcentral describes it as "partial 16S ribosomal RNA". It matches the Rfam family "Bacterial small subunit ribosomal RNA", at positions 338 to 795 of the family's 1533-position model. The record is from RNAcentral.
CCUACGGGAGGCAGCAGUGAGGAAUAUUGGUCAAUGGCCGUAAGGCUGAACCAGCCAAGUCGCGUGAGGGAAUAAGGCCCUACGGGUCGUAAACCUCUUUUGCCGGGGAGCAAGGGCCGGGACGCGUCCCGGCCCGGAGAGUACCCGGAGAAAAAGCAUCGGCUAACUCCGUGACAGCAGCCGCGGUAAUACGGAGGAUGCGAGCGUUAUCCGGAUUUAUUGGGUUUAAAGGGUGCGUAGGCGGGCUUUUAAGUCAGCGGUAAAAAUUCGGGGCUCAACCCCGUCCGGCCGUUGAAACUGGGGGCCUUGAGUGGGCGAGAAGAAGGCGGAAUGCGUGGUGGAGCGGUGAAAUGCAUAGAUAUCACGCAGAACCCCGAUUGCGAAGGCAGCCUUCCGGCGCCCUACUGACGCUGAGGCACGAAAGUGCGGGGAUCGAACAGGAUUAGAUACCCUAGUAGUC